Molecule: transfer RNA, 90 nt
Filed under: Subdoligranulum variabile
Lineage: Bacteria; Bacillati; Bacillota; Clostridia; Eubacteriales; Oscillospiraceae
Also listed under: 4 other names
Description: tRNA-Phe
Source: RNAcentral
GCAAAUUCCGUCAGUGGCGGUGUAGGCGAUAAAACUCGAAAUCAAUUUGGCAGCAAUGCCACGUGGGUUCGAAUCCCACCGUCUGCGCCA